This 229-nucleotide unclassified non-coding RNA is filed under the name plant metagenome. Its description in RNAcentral is "partial contains small subunit ribosomal RNA, internal transcribed spacer 1, and 5.8S ribosomal RNA". The record is from RNAcentral.
UCUCCGUAGGUGAACCUGCGGAGGGAUCAUUACAGAGUUCAUGCCCUACCGGGUAGAUCUCCCACCCUAUUUUAUUAUUACUUUGUUUCUUUGGCGGGCCGUUAUGAUCCGGCCCGAGUACCGGCCCCGGCUGGUAAGCGACCGCCCGAGGACCCAAAACCCUGAAUAUUAGUGUCGUCUGAGUACUAUAUAAUAGUUAAAACUUUCAACAACGGAUCUCUUGGUUCUG